This 403-nucleotide ribosomal RNA is filed under the name uncultured bacterium. Its description in RNAcentral is "partial 16S ribosomal RNA". It matches the Rfam family "Bacterial small subunit ribosomal RNA", at positions 30 to 526 of the family's 1533-position model. The record is from RNAcentral.
AUUGAACGCUGGCGGCAGGCCUAACACAUGCAAGUCGAGCGAGCGGCGGGCGGGUGUGUAAUGUAUGGGGACUCCCCGAUAGAGGGGGAUAACUCCUGGAAAAGGUAGCUAAUACCGCAUACUAUCGGAUAAUCCAUAUGGGAUUAGCUAUUUGGUGUGGUAAUGGCUCACCAAGGCGACGAUCCCUCGCUGGUCUGAGAGGAUGAUCAGCCACACUGGGACUGAGACACGGCCCAGACUCCUACGGAGGCAGCAGUGGGGAAUAUUGCACAAUGGGCGCAAGCCUGAUGCAGCCAUGCCGCGUGUAUGAAGAAGGCCCUAGGGUUGUAAAGUACUUUCAGUCGGGAGGCGUUACCGACAGAAGAAGCACCGGCUAACUCCGUGCCAGCAGCCGCGGUAAUUC